Molecule: long non-coding RNA, 130 nt
Organism: Peromyscus leucopus (white-footed mouse)
Lineage: Eukaryota; Metazoa; Chordata; Mammalia; Rodentia; Cricetidae
Exons: 3
Source: RefSeq, a predicted model, not a curated record
GGAAACUGAGAAUGCUAUUCCCAAUAUCAGUGAGGCUAAACACAUUUCAAGAGAAGACAUACUCAACCAGUGCACCCUGUUUAAACAGGAACAGCUUAAGAGACAGGUGAAAUGCAACCAACUGUGCCAG